UCACCACCACACAUAACAGGGGUUGGAGGAAUCAAUAACGAAGGUUCUUUACCCUCUGGCAAAGGAGGGACAUCAUCUCCCAACUCAGCUGCUAACCUUUCAGCAACAUCCUGUAGACCAUGGACAGAUGCUGUAAUAUAAGCAAGAGGUAAGUGACCAGCAUUCUCCAAGAUCUUAACUCGUUCCUGUAUAUCACCAAGGUACAAAGCAUUGUGAAACUGACCCAUAACAUCAUUCUUAACUUCUGCAAUUUUCAGCAUCUUGGAUAACUUUUCCAGGUUACCAUUUACGAGAUAAAGAAAAGACAAUCUCUCAAAGUUCUUAGUCCUCUGGUAGGCAUAUUCCACAAUAGCAGCAUUGCCUUGGCGAAGGGCCUCCACACCCAACCUAUACCAAUGAUCUUUGUC
This 407-nucleotide long non-coding RNA is filed under the name Gossypium raimondii (Peruvian cotton). RNAcentral describes it as "long non-coding RNA (GRAI_LNC006100)". The record is from RNAcentral. Lineage: Eukaryota; Viridiplantae; Streptophyta; Magnoliopsida; Malvales; Malvaceae.